Molecule: small RNA, 24 nt
Filed under: Arabidopsis thaliana (thale cress)
Lineage: Eukaryota; Viridiplantae; Streptophyta; Magnoliopsida; Brassicales; Brassicaceae
Source: RNAcentral
AGGAAAUCCCUUCUGAGUUGGACC